RNAcentral lists this transfer RNA (69 nucleotides) under Prionobrama filigera (glass bloodfin tetra). Its description in RNAcentral is "tRNA-Phe". It matches the Rfam family "tRNA". Rfam says of the family: Transfer RNA (tRNA) molecules are approximately 80 nucleotides in length. Their secondary structure includes four short double-helical elements and three loops (D, anti-codon, and T loops). The record is from RNAcentral. Lineage: Eukaryota; Metazoa; Chordata; Actinopteri; Characiformes; Characidae.
GCUAUCGUAGCUUAAAAUAAAGCAUAUCACUGAAGAUGUUAGAAUGAACUCUAGUAUGUUCCGAAAGCA